This is a transfer RNA of Xylona heveae TC161, 127 nucleotides long. It matches the Rfam family "tRNA". Rfam says of the family: Transfer RNA (tRNA) molecules are approximately 80 nucleotides in length. The record is from Rfam. Lineage: Eukaryota; Fungi; Ascomycota; Xylonomycetes; Xylonales; Xylonaceae.
GGAUAGAUGGCCGAGCGGUUAAGGCGUGUGACUCAAGAUCUAGGAUCUUGCUCACCUAACGUGAGCACAAAAGCCUAUCAGGUUUCUCAUGGGGCAACCCGCGUGAGUUCGAAUCUCACUCUAUCCA